UACCAGCUCUCCGAGUGGUGUGGAUGUUUAUUGGGCCUAAAGCAUCCGUAGCUGGCUGAGUUAGUCCCCUGUUAAAUCCACCGAAUCAAUCGUUGGAUUGCGGGGGAUACUGUUCGGCUAGGGGACGGGAGAGGCAGACGGUAUUUUCGGGGUAGGGGUGAAAUCCUAUAAUCCCGGGAAGACCACCAGUGGCGAAGGCUGUCUGCUAGAACGCGCCCGACGGUGAGGGAUGAAAGCUGGGGUAGCGAAC
This 250-nucleotide ribosomal RNA is filed under the name uncultured bacterium. Its description in RNAcentral is "partial 16S ribosomal RNA". It matches the Rfam family "Archaeal small subunit ribosomal RNA", at positions 474 to 724 of the family's 1478-position model. The record is from RNAcentral.